AACGCUGGCGGCGUGCUUAACACAUGCAAGUCGAACGGUAAGGCCCUACGGGGUACACGAGUGGCGAACGGGUGAGUAACACGUGGGUGAUCUGCCCUGCACUUCGGGAUAAGCUUGGGAAACUGGGUCUAAUACCGGAUAGGGACCACGGUCUGCAUGGAUUGUGGUGGAAAGCUUUUGCGGUGUGGGAUGGGCCCGCGGCCUAUCAGCUUGUUGGUGGGGUGAUGGCCUACCAAGGCGACGACGGGUAGCCGGCCUGAGAGGGUGUCCGGCCACACUGGGACUGAGAUACGGCCCAGACUCCUACGGGAGGCAGCAGUGGGGAAUAUUGCACAAUGGGCGCAAGCCUGAUGCAGCGACGCCGCGUGGGGGAUGACGGCCUUCGGGUUGUAAACCUCUUUCAAUAGGGACGAAGCGCAAGUGACGGUACCUAUAGAAGAAGCACCGGCCAACUGCGUG
This 459-nucleotide ribosomal RNA is filed under the name uncultured bacterium. RNAcentral describes it as "bacterial SSU rRNA". It matches the Rfam family "Bacterial small subunit ribosomal RNA", at positions 32 to 507 of the family's 1533-position model. The record is from RNAcentral.